AGAGUUUGAUCCUGGCUCAGAUUGAACGCUGGCGGCAUGCCUAACACAUGCAAGUCGAACGGAAAAGACGAAAACAAUCCCUUCGGGGUGCGUCUUCGGGCGUCGAGUGGAGGACGGGUGCGUAACGCGUAGGAAUCUACCUUAUAGUGGGGGACAACUCGGGGAAACUCGAGCUAAUACCGCAUAAGCCUUACGAGAGAAAGCAGGGGAUCUUCGGACCUUGCGCUAUUAGAUGAGCCUGCGUCGGAUUAGCUUGUUGGUAGGGUAAUGGCCUACCAAGGCAACGAUCCUUAUCUGGUCUGAGAGGAUGAUCAGCCACACUGGGAAUGAUACACGGUCCAGACUCCUACGGGAGGCAGCAGUGGGGAAUUUUUGGGCAAUGGCAUGGGGGAACCCUGACCCCCACGCCGCGUGGAGGAAGAAGGUUUUCUGGUCGUAAACUCCUGUCCGGAGGGACGAAGCAAGUGACGGUACCUCUGGAGGAAGCCCCGGAUAACUCCGUGCCAGCAGCCGCGGUAAUACGGGGGGGGCAAGCGUUGUUCGGAAUUACUGGGCGUAAAGGGCGCGCAGGCGGUUUCGUCAGUCAUGGGUGAAAGCCCCGGGCUCAACCCGGGAAUGGCCUGUGAAACCACGGAACUGGAGUGCUGGAGAGGGAAGCGGAAUUCCCAGUGUAGCGGUGAAAUGCGUAGAUAUUGGGAGGAACAUCGGUGGCGAAGGCGGCUUCCUGGACAGACACUGACGCUGAGGCGCGAAAGCCAGGGGAGCGAACGGGAUUA
This 776-nucleotide ribosomal RNA is filed under the name uncultured bacterium. RNAcentral's name for it is "bacterial SSU rRNA". It matches the Rfam family "Bacterial small subunit ribosomal RNA", at positions 8 to 780 of the family's 1533-position model. The record is from RNAcentral.